This is a regulatory RNA element of Haladaptatus litoreus, 64 nucleotides long. It matches the Rfam family "eL15-Euryarchaeota ribosomal protein leader". The record is from Rfam. Lineage: Archaea; Methanobacteriati; Methanobacteriota; Halobacteria; Halobacteriales; Haladaptataceae.
CCUGCAAUCGCAGGACGGAAUGUGGCGAGCGGGAUUCUGCGAAUCCCGCUCGCUGAACCACUCA